This 254-nucleotide ribosomal RNA is filed under the name uncultured bacterium. RNAcentral's name for it is "partial 16S ribosomal RNA". It matches the Rfam family "Bacterial small subunit ribosomal RNA", at positions 524 to 776 of the family's 1533-position model. The record is from RNAcentral.
UACGAAGGGGGCUAGCGUUGUUCGGAAUUACUGGGCGUAAAGGGCGCGUAGGCGGCUGUCCAAGUCAGAUGUGAAAGCCCCGGGCUUAACCUGGGAAUUGCAUUUGAGACUGGGCGGCUUGAGUUUCGGAGAGGUGGGUGGAAUUCCCAGUGUAGAGGUGAAAUUCGUAGAUAUUGGGUGGAACACCGGUGGCGAAAGCGGCUCUCUGGUCCGGACCUGACGCCUGAGGCGCGAAAGCGUGGGGAGCAAACAGG